GCCGGAGUAGCUCAGCUGGUAGAGCACCGCUCUUGUAAAGCGGACGUCGUGGGUUCGAGUCCCACCUCCGGCU
This 73-nucleotide transfer RNA is filed under the name Actinobacteria bacterium RBG_16_68_12. Its description in RNAcentral is "tRNA-Thr". It matches the Rfam family "tRNA". Rfam says of the family: Transfer RNA (tRNA) molecules are approximately 80 nucleotides in length. Their secondary structure includes four short double-helical elements and three loops (D, anti-codon, and T loops). Lineage: Bacteria; Bacillati; Actinomycetota. RNAcentral also lists the same sequence under 1 other name. The record is from RNAcentral.